This 372-nucleotide ribosomal RNA is filed under the name uncultured organism. RNAcentral describes it as "bacterial SSU rRNA". It matches the Rfam family "Bacterial small subunit ribosomal RNA", at positions 526 to 896 of the family's 1533-position model. The record is from RNAcentral.
CGUAGGUGGCAAGCGUUGUCCGGAGUUAUUGGGCGUAAAGCGCGCGCAGGCGGUCCUUUAAGUCUGAUGUGAAAGCCCACGGCUCAACCGUGGAGGGUCAUUGGAAACUGGGGGACUUGAGUACAGGAGAGAAGAGUGGAAUUCCACGUGUAGCGGUGAAAUGCGUAGAGAUGUGGAGGAACACCAGUGGCGAAGGCGACUCUUUGGCCUGUAACUGACGCUGAGGCGCGAAAGCGUGGGGAGCAAACAGGAUUAGAUACCCUGGUAGUCCACGCCGUAAACGAUGAGUGCUAAGUGUUAGAGGGUUUCCGCCCUUUAGUGCUGCAGCAAACGCAUUAAGCACUCCGCCUGGGGAGUACGGCCGCAAGGCUG